ACUCCUACGGGAGGCAGCAGUAGGGAAUCUUCCACAAUGGGCGCAAGCCUGAUGGAGCAACACCGCGUGAGUGAAGAAGGGUUUCGGCUCGUAAAGCUCUGUUGUUAAAGAAGAACACGUAUGAGAGUAACUGUUCAUACGUUGACGGUAUUUAACCAGAAAGUCACGGCUAACUACGUGCCAGCAGCCGCGGUAAUACGUAGGUGGCAAGCGUUAUCCGGUAUUUAUUGGGCGUAAAGAGAGUGCAGGUCGGUUUUCUAAGUCUGAUGUGAAAGCCUUCGGCUUAACCGGAGAAGUGCAUCGGAAACUGGAUAACUUGAGUGCAGAAGAGGGUAGUGGAACUCCAUGUGUAGCGGUGGAAUGCGUAGAUAUAUGGAAGAACA
RNAcentral lists this ribosomal RNA (383 nucleotides) under uncultured bacterium. RNAcentral describes it as "bacterial SSU rRNA". It matches the Rfam family "Bacterial small subunit ribosomal RNA", at positions 335 to 708 of the family's 1533-position model. The record is from RNAcentral.